RNAcentral lists this ribosomal RNA (467 nucleotides) under uncultured bacterium. RNAcentral describes it as "partial 16S ribosomal RNA". It matches the Rfam family "Bacterial small subunit ribosomal RNA", at positions 29 to 507 of the family's 1533-position model. The record is from RNAcentral.
ACGAACGCUGGCGGCGUGCUUAACACAUGCAAGUCGAACGGAAAGGCCCUGCUUUUGUGGGGUGCUCCAGUGGCGAACGGGUGAGUAACACGUGAGUAACCUGCCCUUGACUUUGGGAUAACUUCAGGAAACUGGGGCUAAUACCGGAUAGGAGCUCCUGCUGCAUGGUGGGGGUUGGAAAGUUUCGGCGGUUGGGGAUGGACUCGCGGCUUAUCAGCUUGUUGGUGGGGUAAUGGCUUACCAAGGCUUUGACGGGUAGCCGGCCUGAGAGGGUGACCGGCCACAUUGGGACUGAGAUACGGCCCAGACUCCUACGGGAGGCAGCAGUGGGGAAUAUUGCACAAUGGGCGGAAGCCUGAUGCAGCAACGCCGCGUGCGGGAUGACGGCCUUCGGGUUGUAAACCGCUUUCGCCUGUGACGAAGCGUGAGUGACGGUAAUGGGUAAAGAAGCACCGGCUAACUACGUG